RNAcentral lists this ribosomal RNA (225 nucleotides) under Triticum aestivum (bread wheat). RNAcentral's name for it is "partial small subunit ribosomal RNA". The record is from RNAcentral. Lineage: Eukaryota; Viridiplantae; Streptophyta; Magnoliopsida; Poales; Poaceae.
AUGUGCGGGUGCGCGGAGGCGCUCGUGAGGGCGGUGGUGGCCUUCUUCGACGCCUUCCUCGUUGACUGCUUCCUCUUCUGGUUCCGCCGCCGCCGCCCCCGCCUCCGCCCUCCGGGUAAGCCAACCCUACCUCUGAUCCGCUCGUGCCCAAGGACUGGGCAGGGGAGGCGCUCCCGGCCUCGGACGAAGAGAAAGGUGCCCUGGGUUUCUCGGUCAGAUUUGUGA